UUGAUUCAUUGUGUAAUGAUUCCACUCAGACAUGCUUAAGACAAGAAUACAAGAGUUUGGGUCCCCCGGCGGGCGCCUGGUUCCGGGGCCCCGAGACCUGCUGAGAGGUCCCGGGUUCCCGGGGCAAAGACCCGCCGAAGCAACGGUUGUAAAGGUAUAAGUUCACAUGGGGUUUGGGAGUUGUAAACUCGGUAAUGAUCCCUCCGCUGGUUCACCAACGGAGA
RNAcentral lists this unclassified non-coding RNA (224 nucleotides) under uncultured fungus. RNAcentral's name for it is "sequence contains ITS1". The record is from RNAcentral. Lineage: Eukaryota; Fungi.